RNAcentral lists this long non-coding RNA (359 nucleotides) under Setaria italica (foxtail millet). RNAcentral describes it as "long non-coding RNA (SITA_LNC002523)". The record is from RNAcentral. Lineage: Eukaryota; Viridiplantae; Streptophyta; Magnoliopsida; Poales; Poaceae.
GACGCUGACGACGGUGAGGCUGGUGCCGUCGACGGCGACGAAGCCCUUGGGCACGAGCAGCCUGAGGAUCUCCGGCGGCGCGCGCACGGUGACCCAGAGCGAGUCGCCGUCGGGCCGGAACGCCGCGAUCUCGCCGGUCCCGUCCACGUGGCCCUGCACGAAGUGCCCUCCCAUCCGGGACGACGGCGUGAGCGCGCGCUCGAGGUUGACGCCGUCGCCCGGGGCGCGCUCGCCCAGGGACGUCCGGCGGAGCGUCUCCGGGGCCACGCCGAAGGUGAGCGUGGAGGCCGCCGGGUCGAUCGCCGCCACGGUGAGGCAGGUGCCGUCGACGGCCACGCUGUCCCCGAGCUGCGUCCCGG